UAACAAGGAUUCCCCUAGUAACGGCGAGCGAAGCGGGAAGAGCUCAAAUUUGAAAGCUGGCGUCUUCGGCGUCCGCGUUGUAAUCUCGAGACGUGUUUUCCGUGCGGCUCUAUGGACAAGUCCCUUGGAACAGGGCAUCGUAGAGGGUGAAAAUCCCGUACUUGCCAUGGAAGUACCGUGCUUUGUGAUACACGUUCCAAGAGUCGAGUAGUUUGGGAUUGCUGCUCAAAGUGGGUGGUAGACUUCAUCUAAAGCUAAAUAUCGGGGAGAGACCGAUAGCGAACAAGUACCGUGAGGGAAAGAUGAAAAGCACUUUGGAAAGAGAGUUAAAAGUACGUGAAAUUGUCGAAAGGGAAGCACUUGAAGUCGGCCAUGCUGCUUGAGACUCAGCCUGGCUUUUGCUUGGUGUAUUUCUCGGUAGCAAGCCAGCAUUGGUUUGUGUCGUCGGAGAAGCGUAUGGGGAAUGUGGCAUCCUCGGAUGUGUUAUAGCCCUGUGCUGGAUACGACGACGCAGACCAAGGAACGCAGUGUGCCCUCUGGGCGGGUCUUCGGACACCUUCACACUUAGGAUGCUGGCGUAAU
RNAcentral lists this ribosomal RNA (582 nucleotides) under uncultured Malassezia. RNAcentral describes it as "eukaryotic LSU rRNA". It matches the Rfam family "Eukaryotic large subunit ribosomal RNA", at positions 66 to 635 of the family's 3401-position model. The record is from RNAcentral. Lineage: Eukaryota; Fungi; Basidiomycota; Malasseziomycetes; Malasseziales; Malasseziaceae.